RNAcentral lists this long non-coding RNA (248 nucleotides) under Lathyrus oleraceus (garden pea). Its description in RNAcentral is "Pisum sativum (pea) long non-coding RNA (PSAT_LNC033111)". Lineage: Eukaryota; Viridiplantae; Streptophyta; Magnoliopsida; Fabales; Fabaceae. The record is from RNAcentral.
AAAAUUAUAAUAUAUUUCAGACAACAACACAAAUUUAUUCCUAGAAUUUUUUUGAAUUUUGAAAUUUGGAAUAUACCUUGUUAUUAGAAAAUAAGAAGCAAUUUCAGACAAAUCGUGAAGAAAACACAAAUAAACAUAUAUAUUUGUUAUCAUAUACACAAAAUACUUAACAUUACAUAGAUCUUUAUUAAAAAAAAAUUAACAUGACAUUUGAUCAACAUCUUUAAAAUAUCGUCGUUCGAUCUCAC